AUUGAACGCUGGCGGCAUGCCUUACACAUGCAAGUCGAACGGCAGCGGACCUUCGGGUGCCGGCGAGUGGCGAACGGGUGAGUAAUAUAUCGGAACGUACCUUUCAGUGGGGGAUAACGUAGCGAAAGUUACGCUAAUACCGCAUAUUCUGUGAGCAGGAAAGCAGGGGAUCGCAAGACCUUGCGCUGAUUGAGCGGCCGAUAUCAGAUUAGCUAGUUGGUGAGGUAAAGGCUCACCAAGGCGACGAUCUGUAGCGGGUCUGAGAGGAUGAUCCGCCACACUGGAACUGAGACACGGUCCAGACUCCUACGGGAGGCAGCAGUGGGGAAUUUGGACAAUGGGCGCAAGCCUGAUCCAGCCAUGCCGCGUGAGUGAAGAAGGCCUCGGUU
Molecule: ribosomal RNA, 389 nt
Filed under: uncultured bacterium
Lineage: Bacteria
Description: bacterial SSU rRNA
Rfam family: Bacterial small subunit ribosomal RNA
Source: RNAcentral